GCUAACUUCAAUUAAAUCUUAACCUAUUAUCUUUAAGAAAGAGCCACACCUAGUUUCAAAUUGUUAAUCAUUGAAUCAAGAAGAAAGAAAAUACAAUUACAGUAAGAAUGGUUUUUUCCUUUAGUAGAUCUACUUAAGUAGCAAAGUAAAUGGGUGCAAUAGAAAAAUGCUUGACCUCCUGCAACAGAAGAUCUAAUAAGAGAUUUU
Molecule: unclassified non-coding RNA, 207 nt
Filed under: Hevea brasiliensis (rubber tree)
Lineage: Eukaryota; Viridiplantae; Streptophyta; Magnoliopsida; Malpighiales; Euphorbiaceae
Source: RNAcentral